AACAAGGCGUACCUGCGGACCUGCGGAAGGAUCAUUACAAGUGACCCCGGUCUAACCACCGGGAUGUUCAUAACCCUUUGUUGUCCGACUCUGUUGCCUCCGGGGCGACCCUGCCUUCGGGCGGGGGCUCCGGGUGGACACUUCAAACUCUUGCGUAACUUUGCAGUCUGAGUGAACUUAAUUAAUAAAUUAAAACUUUUAACAACGGAUCU
Molecule: unclassified non-coding RNA, 212 nt
Filed under: soil metagenome
Description: partial contains 5.8S ribosomal RNA, internal transcribed spacer 2, and large subunit ribosomal RNA
Source: RNAcentral